This 21-nucleotide non-coding RNA is filed under the name Caenorhabditis elegans. The record is from RNAcentral. Lineage: Eukaryota; Metazoa; Nematoda; Chromadorea; Rhabditida; Rhabditidae.
ACCCUGUUCAAGUAAAAUGGU